UUCAACACUCGGAGCACCCUCGCCACUGCUCGCCGUCGCGUCCGACCUUCCGCACCGCCGUCCAUCCCGCCGAUUAAGUUGGUGAUUGAGAGGAGGAGGAAAAGAAGAUAUGCCUCAUAGAUCGCGGCCCAUGACAGCGCUGCUGGUGUUCACGGGAGUGAACCUGGCUCUCUUCAACACCAUCACUCCCGUUUAUGACUUCGUCUGCUUCCAUCCCUACUGGGAACGGAGGAGAGAACGACGUAGAAAGGAGCGUGAGGCUGCUUUAGCAAAAGGUUCUUAAACCACUUAGGAGCUGCUCUUAUCAGGUAUUGAUGCUGAUUUGUUAAAUUAUCUAUCCAUAUGAAAGCCAACAUAGUGGUUCAGUUGACAGAAUACUACGGCGUCAUUGGGGCGAAGGGAAUUACAGUAAUUGGUAUAAUUCCACAAAUUGAAUCACCCAUGAUUGGUGACUUCGCUGUCAGGAGAUGUUACCAGAACUCUGUGUUGUACUUUUAAUUCCCUUUGCAAGUCAUUAAGUAAAUGAGAAUCUGUUCUUUGUCAAAGAUGGCUUUCAAGUUGCCAGAAUAUGUAUAUUUUAGAUAAAUAAAUGUACUUUUUUAUAUACCAAAUAUGCUGCUUAAAUUGUCUUCA
Long non-coding RNA from Elaeis guineensis (African oil palm), 633 nucleotides. RefSeq lists it as uncharacterized. The record is from RefSeq and is a predicted model, not a curated record. Lineage: Eukaryota; Viridiplantae; Streptophyta; Magnoliopsida; Arecales; Arecaceae.